UUAAAUACCCCGCGCGAUGCCGCGGGUCAAUUAUUUUUUGCAUUUUAAAAAUAGCCAAGAUCUAAAAGUAUUAGGUUUUUUUGUAAAGUUAUACUCAAGAGUCUCAAAUUUGGUUGCAUCGCUUGAUCCAAGACUAAUGUUUAUAAUAUUAAUAAUAACAUUAAAUUUGGGUUAACCCUUAGCAUAAAAGUGUAUGGACUAUAAUACCAAACCCAAUAGCAUUGGACGUGGGUCUGGUUGCAAGGUCGUGUCAUAAAAGUGUGAUAAUUAAAUAGAUUAGUUAAAAAGAAAAAAAACCAACAGGAAGAAAAAAAACUAAUGAAAAAAAAGAAAAAAAAUAUGAAUUAAUUGGGUUAACCCUUCAAAUCAGGUUAAUCCGUUAUAUCUUGAAUUCGCAUAAUAAAAGUUUGAUAAUUUAAAAGAACAAAACAAAUUAAUGGGUUGACCCAGAAUUAACUGGGUUAACUCGUCAAACCAAGUUAACCUGUCAAACCCGAAAUCCGUGUAAUGAAAGUUCUAUAACUAAAUAGAAAAAAAUUUAACAUUAACAAUUGAAAUUAAACGAAAAAAAUUAAUUAAAAAAAAGCAUCAUUCUUUUCACCGUGGACUGCACUAUGCAGUCCACAGUCAAAGACAUAAAAACAACAACAACAACAACAAAAACUAAAGGCAUCAGCCGAAAACUACUUAGAAAAAAAAUUAAUAUUAAUAAACUAAAUUAAUUAAAUAAAAUUAAUUAAAAAGAAAAAAACCUCUAAGAAGAAGAAAAAAACUAAAUAGAAAGAAAUUUAACAUUAACAAACUAAAUUAAACGAAAAAAUAAUUAAAAAAAAAGCAAAAAAAAAAAAUUCAGGUUAACUCGUCAAACCAAGUUAACACAUUAAACCCGGGAUCCGUGUCAUGAAUGUCUGGUAACCAAAUAAAAAAAAAGUGAAUAUUAACAAACUGAACUAAAUAAAAAAAAUUAAUUAAAAAGAAAAAAAAUCUGAUUUAACUCGUCAAACCAUGUUAACCCAGGAUCCGUGCCAUGAAAGUCUGAUAACUAAAUAAAACAAUAUUUAACAUUAACAAACUAAAUUAAACAAAACAUUUAUGAAAAUAAUAAAAUAAAAAAAUUGACGGGUCAACCCGAAAUUAACUGGGUUCACUCGUGAAACCAGGUUAACCCGUGAAACUCAAGAUAUGUGUCAUGAAAGUCUAACAACUAAAUAGAAAGAAAUUUAACAUUAACAAACUAAACUAAACAAAAAAAAUUAAUUAAAAAGAAUAAAAAGCAAAAUAAAUAAAUUAUAUUUUAACUUGUCAAACCAGGUUAACCCGUUAAAUCCGGUAAACGUGUCAUGAAAGUCUGACAACUAAAUAAAAAAAUUUAACAUCAAUAAACUAAAUUAAACAAAAACAUUUAGAAGGAAGAAGCAAAAAAAUAAUCCCAAAAAGCAUAAAAAAAGAAAGACAACUUUAAAACAAAAAAAAAAAACAAUGCCAAAGAAAUCAGUGUUUUACUGUGGACUGCACACAAAACAAAUUGAGUUAACCCCUUAAACCUGGAAUGCGUGUUAUAAAAGUUUGAGAUAGAAAAAAAAUUUAACAUUAACAAAAAAAAAUUUUAAAAAAAUAUCCAUUAAAAAAAACAAAUAAAAAAUGAAGAAAAAGAAAAGCAAAAAGUUAAAAAAAAACAUCUGAAUUAAUUGGGUUAACCCUCAAACCAAGUUAACCCGUCGAACCUGGAAUUAGCGUCAUGAAAAUUUAAUAACUGCAUAGAAAAAAAAUUUAACAGGUUAACCCAUAAUUAAUUUGGUUAACCUAUGAAACCAAGUUAACACAUAAUUAAUUAAACAAAAAAAUUAACUAAAAAGAAAAAUCAUAAAAAAAAAUAUGGGUUAACCCGUUAAACCCAGAAUGCGUGUUAUAAAAGUUUGAGAUACAAAAAAAUUUAACAUCAACGAAAAAUGUUUUUUAAAAAAUAUCCAUUAAAAAAAAACAAAGAAAAAAAAACUUAAAAAAAAAAAAGCAAAAAGUAAACGAAAAAAAAAAUGUCAGCUCUGUUAAAAAAAAAUUUAAAAAAAAUGAUAAACAAUUCCCAAGGCACAGGGAUCACUGUUUUACUGUGGACUGCACUGUGCAGUCCAUAGUAAAACACUGAUCCCUUUUAGUAUAUGCUAGUUACAUGACCCGCGCGAUGCUGCGGGUCAAUGAUUUUUGCAUAAAAAUAUCAAAAAAAAUUAAGAUCUAAAAGUAUGAGGUCUUUUUGCAAAUCUAUACCCAAGAGUCUUGGGUGUGGCUGCAACGCCUGACCCAAGAGUAAUAUUUAUAAUAUUAAUAAUAAUAUUAAACUUGCAUGACCCAAGUUUAAGUUGAUAUGACUGCAAUACCAGACCCAACAAUCUUGGAUGUGGUCUGGUUGCAAGGUCGUGUCAUAAAAGUG
RNAcentral lists this long non-coding RNA (2425 nucleotides) under Populus tremula. RNAcentral's name for it is "long non-coding RNA (PTRE_LNC000160)". The record is from RNAcentral. Lineage: Eukaryota; Viridiplantae; Streptophyta; Magnoliopsida; Malpighiales; Salicaceae.